Molecule: ribosomal RNA, 602 nt
Filed under: uncultured bacterium
Lineage: Bacteria
Description: bacterial SSU rRNA
Rfam family: Bacterial small subunit ribosomal RNA
Source: RNAcentral
CCUACGGGAGGCAGCAGUUGGGAAUUUUGCACAAUGGACGAAAGUCUGAUGCAGCAACGUCGCGUGCGGGAUGAAGAUUUUCGGAUUGUAAACCGCUUUUAUUUGGGAGUAACUGUUUGAACGUACCAAAUGAAUAAGCACCGGCUAACUCCGUGCCAGCAGCCGCGGUAAUACGGAGGGUGCAAACGUUGUCCGGAAUUACUGGGCGUAAAGCGCAUGUAGGUGGUCUAAUAAGUGAACGAUUAAAUACCGACGCUUAACGUCGGAAAGGUUAUUCAUACUGUUAGACUCGAGGAAGACAGGGGCAGAUGGAACUUUAAGUGUAGGAGUGAUAUCCGUAGAUAUUUAAAGGAACACCAAUGGCGAAGGCAGUCUGCUGGGUCUUUUCUGACACUGAGAUGCGAAAGUGUGGGGAGCAAACGGGAUUAGAUACCCCGGUAGUCCACACUGUAAACGAUGCUCACUAGGUCUUGGAGGGUAUCGACCCCCUUUGGACCGAAGCUAACGCGUUAAGUGAGCCGCCUGGGGAAUACGAACGCAAGUUUAAAACUCAAAGAGUAUACGGACGUGAGAGACGCGACGACGACGACGACGGAGGAGAG